Molecule: ribosomal RNA, 899 nt
Filed under: Sporothrix globosa
Lineage: Eukaryota; Fungi; Ascomycota; Sordariomycetes; Ophiostomatales; Ophiostomataceae
Description: LSU rRNA
Rfam family: Eukaryotic large subunit ribosomal RNA
Source: RNAcentral
GCAUAUCAAUAAGCGGAGGAAAAGAAACCAACAGGGAUUGCCCCAGUAACGGCGAGUGAAGCGGCAACAGCUCAAAUUUGAAAUCUGGCCCCCCGGCCCGAGUUGUAAUUUGGAGAGGAUGCUUCUGGCGCGGCGCCGUCCGAGUUCCUUGGAACAGGACGCCACAGAGGGUGAGAGCCCCGUACGGACGGACGCCUAGCCUCUACGAAGCUCCUUCGACGAGUCGAGUAGUUUGGGAAUGCUGCUCAAAAUGGGAGGUAAAUUUCUUCUAAAGCUAAAUACCGGCCAGAGACCGAUAGCGCACAAGUAGAGUGAUCGAAAGAUGAAAAGCACUUUGAAAAGAGGGUUAAAAAGUACGUGAAAUUGUUGAAAGGGAAGCGCCUGUGACCAGACUUGCGCCUCGCGGACCACCCGGCGUUCUCGCCGGUGCACUCUGCGUGGCGCAGGCCAGCAUCGGUUCUCCCAGGGGGACAAAGGCCGCGGGAACGUAGCUCCUUCGGGAGUGUUAUAGCCCGCGGCGGCAUGCCCCUGGGGGGACCGAGGACCGCGCUUCGGCAAGGAUGCUGGCGUAAUGGUCACCAGCGACCCGUCUUGAAACACGGACCAAGGAGUCAAGCAUUGGGGCGAGUGUAUGGGUGCCAAACCCGCACGCGAAAUGAAAGUAAACGCAGGUGAGAGCUUCGGCGCAUCAUCGACCGAUCCUGAUGUCUUCGGAUGGAUUUGAGUAAGAGCCUUACCGCUUGGACCCGAAAGAUGGUGAACUAUGCCUGAAUAGGGUGAAGCCAGAGGAAACUCUGGUGGAGGCUCGCAGCGGUUCUGACGUGCAAAUCGAUCGUCAAAUUUGGGCAUGGGGGCGAAAGACUAAUCGAACCAUCUAGUAGCUGGUUACCGCCGAAGUU